GAAAUGCGAUAAGUAAUGUGAAUUGCAGAAUUCAGUGAAUCAUCGAAUCUUUGAACGCACAUUGCGCCCGCCAGUAUUCUAGCGGGCAUGCCUGUUCGAGCGUCAUUUCAACCAUCAAGCCCCCGGCUUGUGUUGGGGACCUGCGGCUGCCCGCAGGCCCUGAAAAACAGUGGCGGGCUCGCUGUCACACCGAGCGUAGUAGCAUACAUUCUCGCUCAGGGCGUGCUGCGGGUUCCGGCCGUUAAACGACCUUCAUAACCCAAGGUUGACCUCGGAUCAGGUAGGAAGACCCGCUGAACUUAAGC
RNAcentral lists this unclassified non-coding RNA (305 nucleotides) under plant metagenome. RNAcentral describes it as "partial contains 5.8S ribosomal RNA, internal transcribed spacer 2, and large subunit ribosomal RNA". The stretch from base 1 to 105 matches the Rfam family "5.8S ribosomal RNA", at positions 50 to 154 of the family's 154-position model. The record is from RNAcentral.